AUAUGCAUGAGGUAUAAUAAUUUUUAGGAAAAAACGGCGCUUUUGGCCCCUCAAUUGUUUUACUUUUGAAAAUUUGGCCCCUAUCAAUUGAUUUGAACAAACUUAGUCCUUCAAUUCUUCAUAAUGUACUACACUUAGUCCCUCAUUUUAUAUAAUUAAAAACUUUGAUAAUAAUUUUUUUCAUGGGGUUAUAUUUGUUAAUUAUUCUCCAGCUUCAUUCUCUCUCCUCUUCACAAUUUACGCCAU
Ipomoea nil (Japanese morning glory) is the source of this 246-nucleotide long non-coding RNA. RefSeq lists it as uncharacterized. The record is from RefSeq and is a predicted model, not a curated record. The transcript is spliced from 3 exons. NCBI's taxonomy places the organism in Eukaryota, Viridiplantae, Streptophyta, Magnoliopsida, Solanales, Convolvulaceae.